Felis catus (domestic cat) is the source of this 2819-nucleotide long non-coding RNA. RefSeq lists it as uncharacterized. The transcript is spliced from 7 exons. NCBI's taxonomy places the organism in Eukaryota, Metazoa, Chordata, Mammalia, Carnivora, Felidae. The record is from RefSeq and is a predicted model, not a curated record.
AAGUUGGACAUUUAACCGACUGAGCCAUCCAGUCGCCCUGCUGUAAAGUUUUUUAAACUUCAUUUCUGUGCUGUUCUUGCCACAGACGGGUAGCAAACACUUCAUGGACCAGCAGUGGUCUUCCAACCACACUGAGUGGUGCUGAUUUAGAUGAUUUUCUGCCUCCAUCCUCCUCCCUCAACAGCAACUCCAGAUACUUGAUGCUUGGAUGCCUCAGCUGAGAUGAGGGUGGGUGAAUUACCCAUUAUAAUUAUUGAGCCAAAUAUCAGAGGAAAAGGCUAAGUUUUUGCACUGCUGUUUUCUUGGGGACUUCUACUGUCACCAACAGAUUUCAUACUUGUGGUAACACUUUCUUGUUGUUGAUUUUUCUAUUUACCUGCUGUGUAGGGAAGAGAUUGAGCACAAUAGUAAGGCAGUAGUCCCUCCUUCUCCACAGGGGGUACAUUCCCACACCCCCCGUGGGUGCCAGAAACUGCAGGCCAUACGGAGCCCUAUAUAGACUAUGUUUUCUUCCUAUACAUAAUACCUAUGAAAAAGUUUAAUUUAGAAAUCAGAAAUAGUAAAGGAUUAACAACAAUAACUGAUAACAGAACAAUUAUGACAAUAUCCGGCGAUAGAAGUUAUGUGAAUGUAGUCUCUCUCAAAAUAUCUCAUUGUACUGUUCUUCUUGUGAUGAUGUGAGAUGACACAAUGCCCACGUGAAGAGAGGAAGUGAGGUGGAUGACACGGGCAUUGUGAUGUAGCUCUCGGUUGCUGGUGACCUUCUGGCAAUCUGUCAGAAGGAGGAUCAUCUGCUCCUGUACCACGGUUGACCACGUGUAACCAAAACCACAGGAAGCACAACCGUGGAUAAGAGGGGACAACUGUACGUGAAAUAGAGAAGACUCAGGGCAUAAAGACCCUGCAUAUCAUAGGAAAGACCUGUUUGGAGAUUUGCUGGAGGUGACCAGUUGGGACAACAACACCUGGAAGGAAUGAUUAUUCUCUCCGUGUCACAGAGGAGAAUACCGAAGAAGGCGAUGGGUCAAGGUCACGCAGCUUGGAGGUCUUUGUCUCCUCCAUCCUCUCCAGAGAGAAUGUCAAGGAGGCUUCUGGAAACUCAGAGCUCUGUGGCGGCUCAACCCUGCUGGAAGAUGGGAGCUGUUGAUCGUACACAGAUGACUGGAUACAGCUCUCAUUCUCUUGGAGUGUUAUGCCUGCUUCUCCCUCAGGAGAAGCUGGUCCCCGUGGCCCACAAUAGAUCCACUCUAAUAAGCGUUUUGAGGGUCAACAAGCCAUAGAAUCACUGGCUCUGGGGAAGACAGCUGUUGUGUUGUGUUGUGUUGUGGAGACACCAAAGAAGCCCCACAGAAAGGACCAUGUAGCAAGGAACCAAGGCCACCUGCCAGUCGCCAGUGAGGAACUAAGUCCUCGUGCCAUGGCAGAAAUCGAUGCUGUGGAGGAAAAGAGAAAGUGUCAAUGCCGUGGGCUCCCAGCUCCUGUGUCCACAGCACUUGGGGGACAAGCUGGAAGCACGAAGAAGGAGUCAGACUCAUCUUGGAUACCUAACCCCCCCAGCGCCUGGGGAGAACUGAGCCCUCCGUCACCCUGGCCCACUAGACAGAGAGGAAACAGCCCAGGGAGAUGCAAAGUGCUUCUCCAGGAGCCUCUCUGAGAUGUUUGCAAAGCUUGCAUGAAAACCCAGGGGAUGGAGCCUGGAGCGUCCUUCCUCUUCGAACACCACAGUGCUGACAAGUGCUGAGCCAGCCAUUCUGUCCUUUCCUGCUUCCCUGUCCUGUCCCUCUUCUUCAGUUCCAGCCACUAAGGACCAUUUCUAAGUCCUCCAAGGAAGAGAGAUGCAGAGACUUAGUCAUGCCGACCAAAACCUUCGCAUGGUCCCGUCCUACAAAUAGAGACCAACUGGUUCCCCAAUUAUCAGUGAGAGGACAGAGGAAACCAGAGGUGAGGGUAUCACUUCAGUUGGAGAAAUUUUUAUCCUAGGGAAUGGUUCAUAGACACUCGCCUGGGGGCGAGUAGUCCCCUGGGCCUUCUAAAAUGCCAGGGAAACUCCUGUCAAUUGGGCCCCGCUUAAGGGCUCUGCUUUCCAAAGGUGGAGAGUAAGAAGCAAGGGGAGUUUCUUCUCCGAGGGACUCUUGCUUCCUGGCCCAUCUGGCUGGGCUCGGGGUCUAGAUCCAAAGGGAAAAGGAAGCCCACACUGAAGCUCUGGGCCCCUUUCGUAAAGAGAGAGGGGAAUGAUUAAUAACCCACAAAUGACUCACAAAUAACAGGAAAGCUGUUUGCAAACAUGUAGAUGCCUAGCAGCCUCCCCCACUCCCCGCUCAGAAAGAAAUGAGCAAGAGACAGAACUCUAGCGCCUUCAGAGAGUCCUCCCGCCAGGCUGUCUGUGCUUCUCCGGGUGUGAGUGGGAAGAGGCUGCCGAGCCCCGAGGGGAAGAACCCAUCUGCACUCACACAGCGCCGCAGUCUCAGCCGGAGGGUCUUCAGCUUUUCUCCCAGGGAGUUCACGUGCUGUUUGAUGUCUGGGUCCUCGUUCUCAGCCUGGGGCAUCACCUCCUCCAAAUAAAACUGGAUCAUCUCGGACAAGGCUUGGCAACCCAGCAAAGGAAGCAGACCCAGCUCCCGGCCUCCCUUCUCUGAGUCACGCUGCAAGCUCGCCUCCCACACGCCCCCCCGGGCCCUCACCUUAAAGUCCUCCAGCAAGGACCUAGUCAACAAUAUGCUGUGCAGCUCGUCCUUGGUUUGCUGCAAGAAGAACAAAAGGAGAGUGAGCCCGAGGUUUGAGGAAAUAACUGAAAUAAAUGCCUUUCUGAUGCCCUCUUA